AUACGGAGGGAGCGAGCGUUAAUCGGAAUUACUGGGCGUAAAGCGCGCGUAGGUGGUUAUGUCAGUCGGGUGUGAAAGCCCCGGGCUCAACCUGGGAACUGCAUCCGAUACUGCAUAGCUAGAGUCUGGUAGAGGGAAGUGGAAUUCCACAUGUAGCGGUGAAAUGCGUAGAUAUGUGGAGGAACACCAAUGGCGAAGGCAGCUUCCUGGACCAAGACUGACACUGAGGUGCGAAAGCGUGGGGAGCAAACAGGAUUAGAUACCCCGGUAGUCC
RNAcentral lists this ribosomal RNA (274 nucleotides) under uncultured bacterium. RNAcentral's name for it is "partial 16S ribosomal RNA". It matches the Rfam family "Bacterial small subunit ribosomal RNA", at positions 523 to 796 of the family's 1533-position model. The record is from RNAcentral.